CAAGAUGCUACAGUCAGAUUCUUAACCCUCUGUGCCACAGUGGGAUCUCUUCUCUCUUUUUAUCUAAUCUAAGUUUUGUCAUUCUUGCUUAUCUUGUAUAAUAUUCUUUUUUCUGAAAACUACCAUUGCUUUAAGUAUAUACAUUUCUGAUUUAUUUUUGGUAUCAAUCACUGAGAAUAGGAAUAGGUAAAAAAAAAAUGUUUAAGUCUAAUUACUUCUAUGAGAACCUUAGCAAUAGGCUUAUUAUUUAGCACUGACCCUAAUUAGGUAUAAAGGAUUUUUUUCAUUUCUGUUUUCUGGUUUUUUUUCUUUUUUUCGUCUUUUUCAAAUUGACAGAUGACAUGAGGCUUGAAUAGAGGAUAUAGUGGAUAAUACAAACAGAUUUGAAAAUGCUGGGAUUAUAUGCCUCAACUAAGAAGAUAAAAUUAAGGAAGACAACCAGACUUUUUAUGAAGUUACAUUCAGAGUCCAAUGAUAAAGGCACAAGACUUGUUGCCUAA
This 500-nucleotide long non-coding RNA is filed under the name Sus scrofa (pig). Its description in RNAcentral is "lncRNA (ENSSSCG00070019471.1)". The record is from RNAcentral. Lineage: Eukaryota; Metazoa; Chordata; Mammalia; Artiodactyla; Suidae.